Molecule: long non-coding RNA, 513 nt
Filed under: Calidris pugnax (ruff)
Lineage: Eukaryota; Metazoa; Chordata; Aves; Charadriiformes; Scolopacidae
Description: lncRNA (ENSCPUG00000011425.1)
Source: RNAcentral
GUGGUGUGCAAGCCUGAAGCUGGCCACCCAAACUCACAGCGGAUGUUAAGCUGUCAAGCUGCUGCGCACAGGCUCAGAGGGGUGACGCUGCACGCUGAGGAGCGGUUCGAGCUGGCGCGGUGCAGGUUGCCUUUGGAACCGGAUGAGCGUUUGAGCUGAGCCGGGUAGUAGGGAGGAGGCACAUGGGGCUGGUGGUUUCUUCCAUGUUCAAUGGCAUUUUCACAUCUCUCGGUUUCUCAGGCACCACAAACAGUUACUGCUGCAGAGUUUGACUCUGGAAUCCGUGCAGGGCAGAUGAUGAAGAGGAGCCUAGCGACUGCAGGAGCGAUCCAGUUGGCUGACUAUGGUUUUCCUUGUGGAGGAUGGCUACAGACCCCAUGCUCUCUGAAAGCUAAGUUGAGGGUCUGGUGCUGGGGACUGUUGGGAAAGGGACAAGGUUUGGAGUUGCAGGGAGGGGUUCAAAGUCAGGGUAGGGCAGGGGCUGUCCAGGAGCAGCCCUCUCUGGGUAGGUAA